Molecule: ribosomal RNA, 397 nt
Filed under: uncultured bacterium
Lineage: Bacteria
Description: partial 16S ribosomal RNA
Rfam family: Bacterial small subunit ribosomal RNA
Source: RNAcentral
AAUCUUCCACAAUGGACGAAAGUCUGAUGCAGCGACGCCGCGUGAACGAUGAAGGCCUUCGGGUCGUAAAGUUCUGUCCUUGGGGACGAUAAUGACGGUACCCAAGGAGGAAGCCCCGGCUAACUACGUGCCAGCAGCCGCGGUAAUACGUAGGGGGCGAGCGUGGUCCGGAAUUACUGGGCGUAAAGGGGUCGUAGGCGGCCCUUUAAGUCAGAUGUGAAAGCCCGCGGCUUAACCGCGGAACUGCAUUUGAAACUGGAGGGCUUGAGUGUCGGAGAGGGUAGUGGAAUUCCCAGUGUAGCGGUGAAAUGCGUAGAUAUUGGGAGGAACACCAGUGGCGAAGGCGACUACCUGGACGAUAACUGACGCUGAGGCACGAAAGCUAGGGGAGCAAACA